Molecule: long non-coding RNA, 1324 nt
Filed under: Ceratitis capitata (Mediterranean fruit fly)
Lineage: Eukaryota; Metazoa; Arthropoda; Insecta; Diptera; Tephritidae
Description: uncharacterized LOC110118414, transcript variant X3
Source: RNAcentral
GUUUCUGAAUCAAAAAAAAAUCGAAUAUUAUCAGUGAUAUUUUACAAUCCCCAGUGUUCACAGUUUCAAUACAAGCUGAGAAGAUAACAGUGUGAUUGAUGUCCUCGUAAGGCUAAAGGCUGACGUCACCGUCGUUCAAGAAGUGCGAUGGACAGGACAGGGACAGAGAAGAGUAGAUCAGCUGUCGGCAAAUUCAGUCUCCAUGACGAAACGUACCCAAAUGGGUUAAGGCUGAUCGACUUCAACGGAGCCCGAAAUAUAAUUGUCUGUAGUGCUAGAUCUCAGCACCAGAAAAUUCAUCUAGCUACGUACGUUCCGAUGACAAAACAUCAACUCGACUUGAAUUACUGAUAUGGGACGACCAACAAAAAUAGGAAAAGGCCGAAAUGUAAAUCAGAGAGGUGAUUAAGGGACUGAUACUCCAGCCUGCUAAAUGGCAGGGAAAAUGGAACCCCAAGAGAAGACGAACCCGUUUACCUAAUGACGCAGCUCGAACACCAGUCAUUUACUCGAAAAACAACAACAGAGCGGCGGAGCCGAUGAUCGGCACACAUCACCUCUUCGCCGAUGCUGAAAGAACCAACGGCAGCAUUGUCUCUAAGCCACUAUGUCCGAAUUUGUUAUCCCCCGCAAAACUUAUAGGCUGCUCUCUGCCUAAUAAGCAACCAAGCGAUACGAAGUUAAAAUUCUUUCUCCCUGAGUAAAUACCGAUGUAUUUACACAGGAAUAACAUAUGUAUGUGCAUACGAGUAUGUCUGUCUGCUUUCGAAGAGACAGCUUAUUGUUAUGCCAAACAAUGCUGCAGGAAAAGCUGAUUUCUCAUUCCUUCACUCUCACAUACAUUGCGUAUGGGGACUAAUAGAUACAUAAAACUUGUCCUUUCAAAAAAAGGAUAUUUUAUAACAACGUUUGUUUCACGCACACACAAACCUAACCAAAUCAAUUGAAUUGGGAAGAUGUGUAUGGAUAUGUAUGUCGGCAGUUGGAAAUUCAUCAUCUGCAGGAAAAAUGUAUUCACUAAAAUUUGAAGCUCCGAAUACAAGCGCCAUGCCUAUUAAUAAAUAACUGCGUUUGUAUGCACACAAAUGACUAAAACUUUGGCUCGAAGCCCGUGGUGGGAUAAGCUUGUGGGACUGCAGUACUGUAACAGCGUUACUCAAUAAGGAUGAGAGAAAGAGAGAAACUCUAUGCAGCAUGAAGUUGUAUAACGCCGAGGGCUCUCAAAAACGACUUUGCUAUUUGGUGCAUGCUUCAGGGAACUUAAAGUUAUUUUAAUUUAUGCAUUGUCGCUUAAUAUAUAUAUUUUAGCAUACUUUUAGGCACA